UGGCGACGGGUGAGUAACACGUGAGUAACCUGCCCUUAACUCUGGGAUAAGCCUGGGAAACUGGGUCUAAUACCGGAUAUGACUCCUCAUCGCAUGGUGGGGGGUGGAAAGCUUUAUUGUGGUUUUGGAUGGACUCGCGGCCUAUCAGCUUGUUGGUGAGGUAAUGGCUCACCAAGGCGACGACGGGUAGCCGGCCUGAGAGGGUGACCGGCCACACUGGGACUGAGACACGGCCCAGACUCCUACGGGAGGCAGCAGUGGGGAAUAUUGCACAAUGGGCGAAAGCCUGAUGCAGCGACGCCGCGUGAGGGAUGACGGCCUUCGGGUUGUAAACCUCUUUCAGUAGGGAAGAAGCGAAAGUGACGGUACCUGCAGAAGAAGCGCCGGCUAACUACGUGCCAGCAGCCGCGGUAAUACGUAGGGCGCAAGCGUUAUCCGGAAUUAUUGGGCGUAAAGAGCUCGUAGGCGGUUUGUCGCGUCUGCCGUGAAAGUCCGGGGCUCAACUCCGGAUCUGCGGUGGGUACGGGCAGACUAGAGUGAUGUAGGGGAGACUGGAAUUCCUGGUGUAGCGGUGAAAUGCGCAGAUAUCAGGAGGAACACCGAUGGCGAAGGCAGGUCUCUGGGCAUUAACUGACGCUGAGGAGCGAAAGCAUGGGGAGCGAACAGGAUUAGAUACCCUGGUAGUCCAUGCCGUAAACGUUGGGCACUAGGUGUGGGGGACAUUCCACGUUUUCCGCGCCGUAGCUAACGCAUUAAGUGCCCCGCCUGGGGAGUACGGCCGCAAGGCUAAAACUUCAAAGGAAUUGACGGGGGCCCGCACAAGCGGCGGAGCAUGCGGAUUAAUUCGAUGCAACGCGAAGAACCUUACCAAGGCUUGACAUGAACCGGAAAUACCUGGAAACAGGUGCCCCGCUUGCGGUCGGUUUACAGGUGGUGCAUGGUUGUCGUCAGCUCGUGUCGUGAGAUGUUGGGUUAAGUCCCGCAACGAGCGCAACCCUCGUUCUAUGUUGCCAGCGCGUUAUGGCGGGGACUCAUAGGAGACUGCCGGGGUCAACUCGGAGGAAGGUGGGGACGACGUCAAAUCAUCAUGCCCCUUAUGUCUUGGGCUUCACGCAUGCUACAAUGGCCGGUACAAAGGGUUGCGAUACUGUGAGGUGGAGCUAAUCCCAAAAAGCCGGUCUCAGUUCGGAU
Molecule: ribosomal RNA, 1191 nt
Filed under: Arthrobacter sp. DAB_MOR42
Lineage: Bacteria; Bacillati; Actinomycetota; Actinomycetes; Micrococcales; Micrococcaceae
Description: bacterial SSU rRNA
Rfam family: Bacterial small subunit ribosomal RNA
Source: RNAcentral